AUCCAAAGGACGAGUCCAAAAUAGGACGGAACGUGCGUUCUGGAU
Molecule: non-coding RNA, 45 nt
Filed under: Schistosoma margrebowiei
Lineage: Eukaryota; Metazoa; Platyhelminthes; Trematoda; Strigeidida; Schistosomatidae
Source: RNAcentral